RNAcentral lists this ribosomal RNA (402 nucleotides) under uncultured bacterium. RNAcentral's name for it is "bacterial SSU rRNA". It matches the Rfam family "Bacterial small subunit ribosomal RNA", at positions 30 to 431 of the family's 1533-position model. The record is from RNAcentral.
AUUGAACGCUGGCGGCGUGCCUAACACAUGCAAGUCGAGCGGUAACAGGUGUAGCAAUACAUGCUGACGAGCGGCGAACGGGUGAGUAAUGCUUUGGAAUCUUCCCAGUAGUGGGGAAUAACCAGUCGAAAGAUUGGCUAAUACCGCAUACGUCUGUAAAGGGAAAGCGGGGGCUCGUAAGACCUCGCGCUAUUGGAUGAGCCAAAGUCGGAUUAGCUAGUUGGNGGGGUAAUGGCCUACCAAGGCGACAAUCCGUAGCUGGUCUGAGAGGACGACCAGCCACACCGGAACUGAGACACGGUCCGGACUCCUACGGGAGGCAGCAGUGGGGAAUAUUGGACAAUGGGGGAAACCUGAUCCAGCGACGCCGCGUGUGUGAAGAAGGCCUGCGGGUUGUAAAGC